RNAcentral lists this long non-coding RNA (251 nucleotides) under Manihot esculenta (cassava). RNAcentral describes it as "long non-coding RNA (MESC_LNC009144)". Lineage: Eukaryota; Viridiplantae; Streptophyta; Magnoliopsida; Malpighiales; Euphorbiaceae. The record is from RNAcentral.
UCCGUUUGAGUACCUCAGGACGGUCAAGAUGAUAACAGAUGAGUUAGGGGCAGAUGACAGUAGAGCCAUUCAGAUGGCUGGGUUCACACUGAAGUGCAAGAAGGCCCGAGAGUGGUUUAAAAACUAUGUGAACCCGAGGUUGGACAGUCUAUCAUGGGAGGAGUUUGCUAAUGAGUUUGCAGGAUGGGCUUUCCCUGAUAGCUCAAGGGAGUUGAAGAUGAUCGAGUUUGAACAGUUAAGGCAGACAGAGG